Molecule: long non-coding RNA, 405 nt
Filed under: Mytilus galloprovincialis (Mediterranean mussel)
Lineage: Eukaryota; Metazoa; Mollusca; Bivalvia; Mytilida; Mytilidae
Source: RNAcentral
AUAAAUAACCAACUAUGCUGUGCAAGUUUUCAACAUUGCUAAAGGUCAUAUGAUUUGAUCUCUGAUUGAUCAUUGUCUCGUUGGCAACCAUGCUACAUCUUCUUAUCGUUAUAUUAAAGUUUUGAAUGUAAUAUUAAAAAUUAAAUGAUAAAAUGAUUAAGUUAAGUACUGGAAAUGAUCAAUUUUUCAAAAAGGACAAAAAACAUGUAAUCAAAGCUUCCAGAUAUGCGUCUAUGGUGUUGCACGCAUACACGGCUAUUUAUUGUAAUAAAGUUUAUGAUAUGAGGUAAGCACGAUAUAUGAUAGAUUAUUAGAAAAAAACGUGUAAACAUCAUUUAAGUUUCUUUUUUUGUUAAACCGAAUAGUUGCGAUGCAAAAUUAUGUUUUCUAAAUUUAUUAAAUGCA